CGACCGUGACUCCCUCGACUCCAGCUUCUCCGGUGCAGGCAGAUUUUUGCACCAACAGGAUUGGCGCUAGAGGAAGGGGUGUGUCUUCGCAGUACCCUUGUUCUUAAAGGAGAGCUCAACGGGACCACCUCCGGUCAUCUUCCCCGUCAUCCUCUUCUCCUUCCUCUGCUAGAUUUUCGCCCGAUGCCACCCCGCAGAGUGUCCGCGCAAUGAUCUACGGCCUCCGCGAC
This 230-nucleotide long non-coding RNA is filed under the name Elaeis guineensis (African oil palm). RNAcentral describes it as "long non-coding RNA (EGUI_LNC019897)". Lineage: Eukaryota; Viridiplantae; Streptophyta; Magnoliopsida; Arecales; Arecaceae. The record is from RNAcentral.